UCCAGAACUUAGCUUGAUGGACUUUGACAGACAGGGAUUUGUUUCUUCGUGUUGUUUAGCUCAAACCAGAGCUAAACCUCCUCAUCGUCUCAAAUGACCUGAAAUGGUUUCCCAAGCAACCUGGGCAGACCCUGGGGAGUCCAGAAGGCAUUCAGGGGCCCUGGACCUCUGGGGCUGAAGAUCUGCCUGCCGCUGUCCUGGAGGUCACAGGUUCCAGAAGGGCAGCAGAUGCCUGAAGCCGCAGGGCUGCGGGAAACAUACCUCACUUGCCUGUGGUCCAGUUUGGAUAGUCCCAGCACAGCUUUACAGGAAUAGGCCCCAAACCGAACUUCCAAGGAGGAAGGAUCUGAUCGGCUCAGCUUGGAUGAGGAAGCGGAGGGAGAGUGGACUGGAAGGAACUUGACCCAGGAUGCUGAGUAAGCAGAGCUGUGAAUAUUUGAGUUCAAGCA
This 449-nucleotide long non-coding RNA is filed under the name Homo sapiens (human). RNAcentral describes it as "HSALNT0385876". Lineage: Eukaryota; Metazoa; Chordata; Mammalia; Primates; Hominidae. The record is from RNAcentral.